This 72-nucleotide transfer RNA is filed under the name Camelus bactrianus (Bactrian camel). It matches the Rfam family "tRNA". From Rfam's summary of the family: Transfer RNA (tRNA) molecules are approximately 80 nucleotides in length. Their secondary structure includes four short double-helical elements and three loops (D, anti-codon, and T loops). Lineage: Eukaryota; Metazoa; Chordata; Mammalia; Artiodactyla; Camelidae. The record is from Rfam by way of RNAcentral. RNAcentral also lists the same sequence under 1 other name.
GACGGUAUAGCUCAGUGGUAGAGUGCAAGCUUAGCAUGCAUGAGGUCCUGGGUUCAAUCCCCAGCACCUUCA